This 233-nucleotide ribosomal RNA is filed under the name uncultured bacterium. RNAcentral describes it as "partial 16S ribosomal RNA". It matches the Rfam family "Bacterial small subunit ribosomal RNA", at positions 103 to 334 of the family's 1533-position model. The record is from RNAcentral.
CGGGUGCGUAACACGUGGGCAAUCUGCCCUUCGAUGGGGAAUAACCUCGCGAAAGCGAGGCUAAUUCCGCAUAACAUUCCGAAAAUUACGGUUUUUGGACUCAAAGGCGUAAGCCGUCGAAGGAGGAGCCCGCGCACGAUUAGCUAGUUGGUGAGGUAACGGCUCACCAAGGCUAUGAUCGUUAGCUGGUCUGAGAGGAUGGCCAGCCACACUGGAACUGAGACACGGUCCAG